RNAcentral lists this ribosomal RNA (463 nucleotides) under Salmonella enterica subsp. enterica. RNAcentral describes it as "partial 23S ribosomal RNA". The stretch from base 1 to 366 matches the Rfam family "Bacterial large subunit ribosomal RNA", at positions 161 to 565 of the family's 2925-position model. RNAcentral also lists the same sequence under 1 other name. Lineage: Bacteria; Pseudomonadati; Pseudomonadota; Gammaproteobacteria; Enterobacterales; Enterobacteriaceae. The record is from RNAcentral.
AAUCCAUAGGUUAAUGAGGCGAACCGGGGGAACUGAAACAUCUAAGUACCCCGAGGAAAAGAAAUCAACCGAGAUUCCCCCAGUAGCGGCGAGCGAACGGGGAGGAGCCCAGAGCCUGAAUCAGCAUGUGUGUUAGUGGAAGCGUCUGGAAAGGCGCGCGAUACAGGGUGACAGCCCCGUACACAAAAGCGCAUGUGCUGUGAGCUCGAUGAGUAGGGCGGGACACGUGGUAUCCUGUCUGAAUAUGGGGGGACCAUCCUCCAAGGCUAAAUACUCCUGACUGACCGAUAGUGAACCAGUACCGUGAGGGAAAGGCGAAAAGAACCCCGGCGAGGGGAGUGAAAAAGAACCUGAAACCGUGUACGUACAAGCAGUGGGAGCCCCACCACCAAAGCAUUUGCUGUACCGCGUUGACGGAGCGAAGCGACGUCAAACCGAUAAAACAGCAGUGUAAAGUGAGCCG